AUUUGACUGGACAAUCUUGAAGUAUCCACAGUUUGGCUCUAGCUCCACUCUAGCUCAAAACCAAGAUCGAGUCUUACAUGUCAACCAGCUUUGUAUCCUCCAGUGCCAUCUGGUGAGAGACCAGAGAAACCUUCGGAACCUGCAAACCUGUAGCUUUGGCUAAGUUGAGGAAGAAGCAAGGAGGAAGAAGGAAAUGAAUUAAAUGAUGAAUCGCAAACUUACUGGCUGUUCCAACAGAUAAUUGUGAAGGUGAUGUGUCAAGCUCUGGUCUGGUAGAGACUAAAGAAAGGGUAUUAUAAUCAAAAAGGCAGAGUGAGGAAAGUAAUUGAUAAUUGUAUACUUGAGUCA
Long non-coding RNA from Brassica oleracea var. oleracea, 348 nucleotides. RefSeq lists it as uncharacterized. Lineage: Eukaryota; Viridiplantae; Streptophyta; Magnoliopsida; Brassicales; Brassicaceae. The transcript is spliced from 3 exons. The record is from RefSeq and is a predicted model, not a curated record.